Molecule: small nucleolar RNA, 169 nt
Filed under: Nicotiana sylvestris (wood tobacco)
Lineage: Eukaryota; Viridiplantae; Streptophyta; Magnoliopsida; Solanales; Solanaceae
Also listed under: 1 other name
Description: small nucleolar RNA snoR143
Rfam family: small nucleolar RNA snoR143
Source: Rfam by way of RNAcentral
UUGCACUGGCUUUAAUAAAGGGCUUCGCUAAAUUUAUGAAAUAGUGCGGUUCUUAAGCGACAGUGCAUAAAGGGAAAGCUGAAUUAAUCAGCGGCGGCCAGACAACCGCUGAGAUGAAUCCACAGAUGGGUUCCUAAUGGUUCUUGUCUACUAAUUUCAUCUCACAUUC